GAAAUGCGAUAAGUAGUGUGAAUUGCAGAAUUCAGUGAAUCAUCGAAUCUUUGAACGCACAUUGCGCCCUUUGGUAUUCCUUAGGGCAUGCCUGUUCGAGCGUCAUCUAAACCUUCAAGCCCUGCUUGGUGUUGGGUGCCUGUCCCGCCUCCGCGCGCGGACUCACCUCAAAUCCAUUGGCGGCCCCCGCGUCGGCCACGAGCGCAGCAGAAACGCGAACUCGUGAGCCCGUCCGGGCGGCUCCCAGAAGCUACACCCACCCAGUUUGACCUCGGAUCAGGUAGGGAUACCCGCUGAACUUAUGC
Molecule: unclassified non-coding RNA, 305 nt
Filed under: plant metagenome
Description: partial contains 5.8S ribosomal RNA, internal transcribed spacer 2, and large subunit ribosomal RNA
Rfam family: 5.8S ribosomal RNA (bases 1-105)
Source: RNAcentral